UACGGGGGGUGCGAGCGUUGUCCGGAAUCACUGGGCGUAAAGGGCGCGUAGGUGGCCUGAUAAGGGUGUGGUGAAAGUCCGGGGCUCAACCCCGGAUCUGCCGUGCCGACUGUUGGGCUGGAGUACUGUAGGGGCAGGCGGAAUUCCGGGUGUAGCGGUGGAAUGCGUGAGAGAGUCCGGAGGAAGACCGGUGGCGAAGGCGGCCUGCUGGGCAGUUACUGGACACUGAGGCGCGACAGCGUGGGGAGCAAACGGG
Molecule: ribosomal RNA, 256 nt
Filed under: uncultured bacterium
Lineage: Bacteria
Description: partial 16S ribosomal RNA
Rfam family: Bacterial small subunit ribosomal RNA
Source: RNAcentral